ACACACACUUAUUCACACUCACACACACACACACACACACACACACACACACACACACACACACACACACACACACACACACACACACACACACACGCGCACACACGCACACACACACACACCCCAGUAUAAUCCAUCUAUUAGAUAAUCCAUAGCCUCAGAGUACCAGUAUUAUGUAAAGCUAUAACUCUAUCUAAAACCCAUUAAUCCACUAGUAUGAAUAUUCAGUGUGGAGAUUAGUAUCGUAGCAUCUCCUGGGGGUUAGUUUAUCUCUGCAUUCUACACAUGACAGCAGCUUCAUUUGUAAGUCAGGAGGUGACAGAACAAAAAGGUAGCGUGAGAGGAGGGUGAGCUGGGGAGGGUGAGCUGGGGAGUUCUCAGGUACCAGAACGCAUGAGGAGAGCUGGGGAGGGUGAGCUGGGGAGUUCUCAGGUACCAGAACGCAUGAGGAGAGCUGGGGAGGGUGAGCUGGGGAGUUCUCAGGUACCAGAACGCAUGAGGAGAGCUGGGGAGGGUGAGCUGGGGAGUUCUCAGGUACCAGAACGCAUGAGGAGAGCUGGGGAGGGUGAGCUGGGGAGUUCUCAGGUACCAGAACGCAUGAGGAGAGCUGGGGAGGGUGAGCUGGGGAGUUCUCAGGUACCAGAACGCAUGAGGAGAGCUGGGGAGGGUGAGCUGGGGAGUUCUCAGGCAUGACGAAAAAAUGCCCUUUUAUAAUAAAUCCUUGCAUGCAUAUCAUCACAUUUGCGUCGUGGCGUAGAGUAGAGGCACUUACACAGGUAGAGUAGAGACACUUACACAGGUAGAGUAGAGACACUUACACAGGUAGAGUAGAGACACUUACACAGGUAGAGUAGAGGCACUUACACGGGUAGAGUAGAGACACUUACACAGGUAGAGUAGAGACACUUACACAGGUAGAGUAGAGACACUUACACAGGUAGAGUAGAGGCACUUACACAGGUAGAGUAGAGGCACUUACACAGGUAGAGUAGAGACACUUACACAGGUAGAGUAGAGACACUUACACAGGUAGAGUAGAGACACUUACACAGGUAGAGUAGAGACACUUACACAGGUAGAGUAGAGGCACUUACACAGGUAGAGUAGAGACACUUACACAGGUAGAGUAGAGACACUUACACAGGUAGAGUAGAGACACUUACACAGGUAGAGUAGAGACACUUACACAGGUAGAGUAGAGACACUUACACAGGUAGAGUAGAGGCACUUACACAGGUAGAGUAGAGACACUUACACAGGUAGAGUAGAGACACUUACACAGGUAGAGUAGAGACACUUACACAGGUAGAGUAGAGACACUUACACAGGUAGAGUAGAGGCACUUACACAGGUAGAGUAGAGGCACUUACACAGGUAGAGUAGAGACACUUACACAGGUAGAGUAGAGACACUUACACAGGUAGAGUAGAGACACUUACACAGGUAGAGUAGAGACACUUACACAGGUAGAGUAGAGGCACUUACACAGGUAGAGUAGAGACACUUACACAGGUAGAGUAGAGACACUUACACAGGUAGAGUAGAGGCACUUACACAGGUAGAGUAGAGACACUUACACAGGUAGAGUAGAGACACUUACACAGGUAGAGUAGAGGCACUUACACAGGUAGAGUAGAGACACUUACACAGGUAGAGUAGAGGCACUUACACAGGUAGAGUAGAGACACUUACACAGGUAGAGUAGAGACACUUACACAGGUAGAGUAGAGGCACUUACACAGGUAGAGUAGAGGCACUUACACAGGUAGAGUAGAGACACUUACACAGGUAGAGUAGAGACACUUACACAGGUAGAGUAGAGGCACUUACACAGGUAGAGUAGAGGCACUUACACAGGUAGAGUAGAGACACUUACACAGGUAGAGUAGAGACACUUACACAGGUAGAGUAGAGGCACUUACACAGGUAGAGUAGAGAUACUUACACAGGUAGAGUAGAGACACUUACACAGGUAGAGUAGAGGCACUUACACAGGUAGAGUAGAGGCACUUACACAGGUAGAGUAGAGGCACUUACACAGGUAGAGUAGAGGCACUUACACAGGUAGAGUAGAGACACUUACACAGGUAGAGUAGAGACACUUACACAGGUAGAGUAGAGGCACUUACACAGGUAGAGUAGAGACACUUACACAGGUAGAGUAGAGGCACUUACACAGGUAGAGUAGAGGCACUUACACAGGUAGAGUAGAGAUACUUACACAGGUAGAGUAGAGACACUUACACAGGUAGAGUAGAGGCACUUACACAGGUAGAGUAGAGGCACUUACACAGGUAGAGUAGAGGCACUUACACAGGUAGAGUAGAGGCACUUACACAGGUAGAGUAGAGACACUUACACAGGUAGAGUAGAGACACUUACACAGGUAGAGUAGAGGCACUUACACAGGUAGAGUAGAGACACUUACACAGGUAGAGUAGAGGCACUUACACAGGUAGAGUAGAGGCACUUACACAGGUAGAGUAGAGACACUUACACAGGUAGAGUAGAGACACUUACACAGGUAGAGUAGAGACACUUACACAGGUAGAGUAGAGACUUACACAGGUAGAGUAGAGACACUUACACAGGUAGAGUAGAGACACUUACACAGGUAGAGUAGAGGCACUUACACAGGUAGAGUAGAGACACUUACACAGGUAGAGUAGAGACACUUACACAGGUAGAGUAGAGGCACUUACACAGGUAGAGUAGAGACACUUACACAGGUAGAGUAGAGGCACUUACACAGGUAGAGUAGAG
Molecule: long non-coding RNA, 2763 nt
Organism: Oncorhynchus keta (chum salmon)
Lineage: Eukaryota; Metazoa; Chordata; Actinopteri; Salmoniformes; Salmonidae
Exons: 3
Source: RefSeq, a predicted model, not a curated record